UUGACCUCGAAUCAGGUAGGAAUACCCGCUGAACUUAAGCAUAUCAAUAAGCGGAGGAAAAGAAACCAACCGGGAUUACCUCAGUAAC
RNAcentral lists this ribosomal RNA (88 nucleotides) under Erysiphe heraclei. Its description in RNAcentral is "partial 28S ribosomal RNA". It matches the Rfam family "Eukaryotic large subunit ribosomal RNA", at positions 1 to 87 of the family's 3401-position model. The record is from RNAcentral. Lineage: Eukaryota; Fungi; Ascomycota; Leotiomycetes; Helotiales; Erysiphaceae.